RNAcentral lists this ribosomal RNA (498 nucleotides) under uncultured bacterium. Its description in RNAcentral is "partial 16S ribosomal RNA". It matches the Rfam family "Bacterial small subunit ribosomal RNA", at positions 30 to 523 of the family's 1533-position model. The record is from RNAcentral.
AUUGAACGCUGGCGGCAUGCCUUACACAUGCAAGUCGAACGGUAACAGAUCUUCGGAUGCUGACGAGUGGCGAACGGGUGAGUAAUACAUCGGAACGUGCCUAGUAGUGGGGGAUAACUACUCGAAAGAGUGGCUAAUACCGCAUGAGAUCUACGGAUGAAAGCAGGGGAUCGCAAGACCUUGUGCUACUAGAGCGGCCGAUGGCAGAUUAGGUAGUUGGUGGGAUAAAAGCUUACCAAGCCGACGAUCUGUAGCUGGUCUGAGAGGACGAUCAGCCACACUGGGACUGAGACACGGCCCAGACUCCUACGGGAGGCAGCAGUGGGGAAUUUUGGACAAUGGGCGCAAGCCUGAUCCAGAAAUGCCGCGUGCAGGAUGAAGGCCUUCGGGUUAUAAACUGCUUUUGUACGGAACGAAAAGCCCUGGGUUAAUACCCUGGGGUCAUGACGGUACCGUAAGAAUAAGCACCGGCUAACUACGUGCCAGCCGCCGCCGUAA